UAUUGAUAAAAAGUGCUAACGAUCAUCUGA
This 30-nucleotide non-coding RNA is filed under the name Homo sapiens (human). The record is from RNAcentral. Lineage: Eukaryota; Metazoa; Chordata; Mammalia; Primates; Hominidae.